Molecule: non-coding RNA, 460 nt
Organism: Equus caballus (horse)
Lineage: Eukaryota; Metazoa; Chordata; Mammalia; Perissodactyla; Equidae
Source: the annotation of a RefSeq genome assembly
UGAAAGAUGCCUUGUGCAGGGCUGUGCUAGUUGAUGCUGUGUGAUUGCUUGGGACCUCCCCUGUCUUAGAACCAAACACAGAUCCUGAGCUCUGAGGCCUGGAACUCCAGAUUGCACUUGAACUAUGAGAUCAGCGACAAGAAUAAUUAUUCUCCUAACAUUGGGUAUUAUGAGUGAUUCUAAGACCACACAGCCAAACGCAAUGGAGUGUGCUGAAGAAGAACCUGUGCACCUGCCCUGUAACCACUCCACAAUCAGUGGAAAUGAGUACAUAUAUUGGUAUCGACAGAUUCCCCACCAGGGUCCAGUGUAUAUGAUUCACGGCAUAAAAAACAAUGUGACCAAUGGAAUGCUGUCUCUGACCAUGACAGCAGACCGAAAGUCCAGUACCUUGAUCCUGCCUCAGGUCACCCUGAGAGAUGCUGCUGUGUACUACUGCAUCGUGAGAAAGGCACAUUGA